GCAUUGGUGGUUCAGUGGUAGAAUUCUCACCUUCCAUGCAGGAGAUCCAGGUUCGAUUCCCAGCCAAUACA
RNAcentral lists this transfer RNA (71 nucleotides) under Loxodonta africana (African savanna elephant). It matches the Rfam family "tRNA". Rfam says of the family: Transfer RNA (tRNA) molecules are approximately 80 nucleotides in length. Their secondary structure includes four short double-helical elements and three loops (D, anti-codon, and T loops). Further hydrogen bonds mediate the characteristic L-shaped molecular structure. tRNAs have two regions of fundamental functional importance: the anti-codon, which is responsible for specific mRNA codon recognition, and the 3' end, to which the tRNAs corresponding amino acid is attached (by aminoacyl-tRNA synthetases). tRNAs cope with the degeneracy of the genetic code in two manners: having more than one tRNA (with a specific anti-codon) for a particular amino acid; and 'wobble' base-pairing, i.e. permitting non-standard base-pairing at the 3rd anti-codon position. Lineage: Eukaryota; Metazoa; Chordata; Mammalia; Proboscidea; Elephantidae. The record is from Rfam by way of RNAcentral.